CGGGUUGUAAAGUACUUUCAGCAGUGAGGAAGGCAGGUACGUUAAUAGCGUGCUUGUUUGACGUUAGCUGCAGAAGAAGCACCGGCUAACUCCGUGCCAGCAGCCGCGGUAAUACGGAGGGUGCGAGCGUUAAUCGGAAUUACUGGGCGUAAAGCGCAUGCAGGUGGUUUGUUAAGUCAGAUGUGAAAGACCCGGGGCGUCAACCUCGGAAUUGCAUUUGAAACUAGGCAGACUAGAGUACUGUAGAGGGGGGUAGGAAUUUCAGGUGUAGCGGUGAAAUGCGUAGAGAUCUGAAGGAAUACCGGUGGCGAAGGCGGCCCCCUGGACAGAUACUGGCACUCAGAUGCGAAAGCGUGGGGAGCAAACAGGAUUAGAUACCCUGGUAG
RNAcentral lists this ribosomal RNA (386 nucleotides) under uncultured bacterium. RNAcentral's name for it is "bacterial SSU rRNA". It matches the Rfam family "Bacterial small subunit ribosomal RNA", at positions 419 to 793 of the family's 1533-position model. The record is from RNAcentral.